UACGAAGGUCCCAAGCGUUGUUCGGAAUCACUGGGCGUAAAGGGUGCGUAGGCUGCGCGGAAAGUCAGAGGUGAAAUCCCGGGGCUCAACCCCGGAACUGCCUCCGAUACUGCCGCGCUCGAGUACUGAAGGGGAGUCUGGAAUUCACGGUGGAGCAGUGAAAUGCGUGGAUAUCGUGAGGAACACUAGUGGCGCAGGCGAGACUCUGGGCAGUAACUGACGCUGAGGCACGAAGGCCAGGGGAGCAAACGGG
RNAcentral lists this ribosomal RNA (253 nucleotides) under uncultured bacterium. RNAcentral describes it as "partial 16S ribosomal RNA". It matches the Rfam family "Bacterial small subunit ribosomal RNA", at positions 524 to 776 of the family's 1533-position model. The record is from RNAcentral.